UUCUGGUUGAUCCCGGCGGAGGUUACUGCUAUCGAGGUUCGACUAAGCCAUGCGAGUCGAAUGUAGCAAUACAUGGCGUACUGCUCAGUAACACGUGGACAACCUGCCCUUGAGACGGGGAUAAACCCGGGAAACUGGGUAUAAUACCCGAUAGAUCUCGAUUGCUGGAAUGCAUCGAGCUUGAAAGCUCCGGCGCUCAAGGAUGGGUCUGCGGCCUAUCAGGUAGUAGUGGGUGUAGCGUACCUACUAGCCUACGACGGGUACGGGUUGUGAGAGCAAGAGCCCGGAGAUGGAUUCUGAGACACGAAUCCAGGCCCUACGGGGUGCAGCAGGCGCGAAAACUUUACAAUGCUGGAAACAGCGAUAAGGGGACCUCGAGUGCCAGGUUACAAAUCUGGCUGUCGUGAUGCCUAAAAAGCAUUGCAUAGCAAGGGCCGGGCAAGACCGGUGCCAGCCGCCGCGGUAACACCGGCGGCUCGAGUGGUAACCGUUAUUAUUGGGUCUAAAGGGUCUGUAGCCGGCCGGAUAAGUCUCUUGGGAAAUCUGGCAGCUUAACUGUCAGGCUUUCAGGAGAUACUGUCUGGCUCGAGGCCGGGAGAGGUGAGAGGUACUUCAGGGGUAGGGGUGAAAUCUUGUAAUCCUUGAAGGACCACCAGUGGCGAAGGCGUCUCACCAGAACGGACCUGACGGCAAGGGAC
This 698-nucleotide ribosomal RNA is filed under the name uncultured Methanosaeta sp. RNAcentral describes it as "bacterial SSU rRNA". It matches the Rfam family "Archaeal small subunit ribosomal RNA", at positions 1 to 705 of the family's 1478-position model. Lineage: Archaea; Methanobacteriati; Methanobacteriota; Methanomicrobia; Methanotrichales; Methanotrichaceae. The record is from RNAcentral.